Molecule: ribosomal RNA, 230 nt
Filed under: uncultured bacterium
Lineage: Bacteria
Description: partial 16S ribosomal RNA
Rfam family: Bacterial small subunit ribosomal RNA
Source: RNAcentral
AAAGCGUGCGCAGGCGGUUAUGUAAGACAGAUGUGAAAUCCCCGGGCUCAACCUGGGAACUGCAUUUGUGACUGCAUGGCUAGAGUACGGUAGAGGGGGAUGGAAUUCCGCGUGUAGCAGUGAAAUGCGUAGAUAUGCGGAGGAACACCGAUGGCGAAGGCAAUCCCCUGGACCUGUACUGACGCUCAUGCACGAAAGCGUGGGGAGCAAACAGGAUUAGAUACCCUGGU